UCCUGAUGCUCACAUGUGUUACUAAGCUAAUAUGUAUACAAGCAUAUAUACCUACUUAUAUAUACUUAUUUCUUUUUUAGCCAUUUUUAGAAGAUUUAAAAAAAUAUAUAAUUGAUAUAAAGAGUAAUGAUAACGAUAAAAAUAAAGAUGCUAUGUUACAGUCAUAUAAUAAUACAGAAAAAUUAAUACAAUCUGAAUUUGUUUACCAAUCCGAAUUUCAAAAUAAUAUUGCUGAUGUUACAGCUUUAGCAAUCAAAGAAAAUGAGACAUACCAAAAAAAAAAUACAAAAAUAUUUUUUUUUAUUAAAAUGUAAAGAUGAAAAAAUUAAGACGGCAUGUGAAAUAAACUCAAAAAAUGUUAUAUCGUUUAUUACGUUCAUAAGAAAUCAAAUGGAUGGAUACAAACUAUACUUACAAGACGUUUUAAAUAAAAUUAGAAAUGAUCUGAAUUUAAGGAGAAAGUGCUUAUUAAGCAACAACAGACAGAUUGUUGAUGAUUUCAUGAGGAUGCGAAAUAUGAAUGCAAGCUAUUUCCUUGACGAAAUACAGUACCAAAAAAGAUUAGAUGAAAAAAUAAAAGAUACAUAUGAGCAAAUUCAUUUGAACUUGAAGAAGAAAAAUGAAAUGCUUGAAGCUAACUUAGUAUAGGUAUAGGUAUAG
RNAcentral lists this long non-coding RNA (660 nucleotides) under Piliocolobus tephrosceles (Ugandan red Colobus). Its description in RNAcentral is "lncRNA (ENSPTEG00000017975.1)". The record is from RNAcentral. Lineage: Eukaryota; Metazoa; Chordata; Mammalia; Primates; Cercopithecidae.